RNAcentral lists this transfer RNA (74 nucleotides) under Culex quinquefasciatus (southern house mosquito). Its description in RNAcentral is "tRNA-Thr". Lineage: Eukaryota; Metazoa; Arthropoda; Insecta; Diptera; Culicidae. The record is from RNAcentral.
GCAGUGCGUAGCCGAAUGGUUACGCUGUCCGCUUUGUAAGCGGAUGAUUCUGGGUUCGAUUCCUAUCUGCUGCA